UGGGGAAUAUUGGACAAUGGGCGCAAGCCUGAUCCAGCCAUGCCGCGUGAGUGAUGAAGGCCCUAGGGUUGUAAAGCUCUUUCACCGGUGAAGAUAAUGACGGUAACCGGAGAAGAAGCCCCGGCUAACUUCGUGCCAGCAGCCGCGGUAAUACGAAGGGGGCUAGCGUUGUUCGGAUUUACUGGGCGUAAAGCGCACGUAGGCGGACUUUUAAGUCAGGGGUGAAAUCCCGGGGCUCAACCCCGGAACUGCCUUUGAUACUGGAAGUCUUGAGUAUGGUACAGGUGAGUGGAAUUCCGAGUGUAGAGGUGAAAUUCGUAGAUAUUCGGAGGAACACCAGUGGCGAAGGCGGCUCACUGGACCAUUACUGACGCUGAGGUGCGAAAGCGUGGGGAGCAAACAGG
RNAcentral lists this ribosomal RNA (404 nucleotides) under Actinomycetes bacterium. Its description in RNAcentral is "Actinobacteria bacterium partial 16S ribosomal RNA". It matches the Rfam family "Bacterial small subunit ribosomal RNA", at positions 355 to 776 of the family's 1533-position model. Lineage: Bacteria; Bacillati; Actinomycetota; Actinomycetes. The record is from RNAcentral.